RNAcentral lists this unclassified non-coding RNA (313 nucleotides) under plant metagenome. RNAcentral describes it as "partial contains 5.8S ribosomal RNA, internal transcribed spacer 2, and large subunit ribosomal RNA". The stretch from base 1 to 105 matches the Rfam family "5.8S ribosomal RNA", at positions 50 to 154 of the family's 154-position model. The record is from RNAcentral.
GAAAUGCGAUAAUUAAUGUGAAUUGCAGAAUUCAGUGAAUCAUCGAGUCUUUGAACGCACAUUGCGCCCCCUGGUAUUCCGGGGGGCAUGCCUGUCCGAGCGUCAUUGCUGCCCUCAAGCACGGCUUGUGUGUUGGGCUUCCGUCCCUGGCAACGGGGACGGGCCCAAAAGGCAGUGGCGGCACCAUGUCUGGUCCUCGAGCGUAUGGGCUUUGUCACCCGCUCCCGUAGGUCCAGCUGGCAGCUAGCCUCGCAACCAAUCUUUUUAACCAGGUUGACCUCGGAUCAGGUAGGGAUACCCGCUGAACUUAAGC